GUGUCCGUAGCUCAGUUGGAUAGAGCGUCAGACUCCGACUCUGAAGGCCGCCGGUUCAAGUCCGGCCGGGCAUACCA
This 77-nucleotide transfer RNA is filed under the name Clostridiales bacterium. Its description in RNAcentral is "tRNA-Arg". It matches the Rfam family "tRNA". From Rfam's summary of the family: Transfer RNA (tRNA) molecules are approximately 80 nucleotides in length. Their secondary structure includes four short double-helical elements and three loops (D, anti-codon, and T loops). The record is from RNAcentral. Lineage: Bacteria; Bacillati; Bacillota; Clostridia; Eubacteriales.